GGGCGCAUAGUUCAGUGGUAGAACGCUGUCCUGAUAAGACAGAGGUCCCAGGUUCGAUCCCUGGUGCGCCCA
This 72-nucleotide transfer RNA is filed under the name Candidatus Brennerbacteria bacterium. Its description in RNAcentral is "tRNA-Ile". It matches the Rfam family "tRNA". Rfam says of the family: Transfer RNA (tRNA) molecules are approximately 80 nucleotides in length. Their secondary structure includes four short double-helical elements and three loops (D, anti-codon, and T loops). Further hydrogen bonds mediate the characteristic L-shaped molecular structure. tRNAs have two regions of fundamental functional importance: the anti-codon, which is responsible for specific mRNA codon recognition, and the 3' end, to which the tRNAs corresponding amino acid is attached (by aminoacyl-tRNA synthetases). tRNAs cope with the degeneracy of the genetic code in two manners: having more than one tRNA (with a specific anti-codon) for a particular amino acid; and 'wobble' base-pairing, i.e. permitting non-standard base-pairing at the 3rd anti-codon position. The record is from RNAcentral. Lineage: Bacteria; Candidatus Brenneribacteriota.